CCUACGGGACGCAGCAGUGAGGAAUAUUGGUCAAUGGACGAGAGUCUGAACCAGCCAAGUAGCGUGAAGGAUGACUGCCCUAUGGGUUGUAAACUUCUUUUAUAUGGGAAUAAAACAGGGUAUGCAUACCCUCUUGUAUGUACCAUAUGAAUAAGGAUCGGCUAACUCCGUGCCAGCAGCCGCGGUAAUACGGAGGAUCCGAGCGUUAUCCGGAUUUAUUGGGUUUACAGGGAGCGUAGGUGGAUUGUUAAGUCAGUUGUGAAAGUUUGCGGCUCAACCGUAAAAUUGCAGUUGAAACUGGCAGUCGUGAGUACAGUAGAGGUGGGCGGAAUUCGUGGUGUAGCGGUGAAAUGCUUAGAGAUCACGAAGAACUCCGAUUGCGAAGGCAGCCCACUAGACUGCAACUGACACUGAUGCUCGAAAGUGUGGGUAUCAAACAGGAUUAGAUACCCGUGUAGUC
Molecule: ribosomal RNA, 460 nt
Filed under: uncultured bacterium
Lineage: Bacteria
Description: partial 16S ribosomal RNA
Rfam family: Bacterial small subunit ribosomal RNA
Source: RNAcentral